AGUGAACGCUGGCGGUAGGCCUAACACAUGCAAGUCGAACGGCAGCACAGUAAGAGCUUGCUCUUACGGGUGGCGAGUGGCGGACGGGUGAGGAAUACAUCGGAAUCUACUUUUUCGUGGGGGAUAACGUAGGGAAACUUACGCUAAUACCGCAUACGACCUACGGGUGAAAGCAGGGGAUCUUCGGACCUUGCGCGAUUGAAUGAGCCGAUGUCGGAUUAGCUAGUUGGCGGGGUAAAGGCCCACCAAGGCGACGAUCCGUAGCUGGUCUGAGAGGAUGAUCAGCCACCCUGGAACUGGGCCACGGUCCAGGCUCCUACGGGAGGCAGCAGUGGGGAAUAUUGGACAAUGGGCGCAAGCCUGAUCCAGCCAUACCGCGUGGGUGAAGAAGGCCUUCGGGUUGUAAAGCCCUUUUGUUGGGAAAGAAAAGCAGCAGGUUAAUACCCCGCUGUUCUGACGGUACCCAAAGAAUAAGCACCGGCUAACUUCGUG
This 492-nucleotide ribosomal RNA is filed under the name uncultured bacterium. Its description in RNAcentral is "partial 16S ribosomal RNA". It matches the Rfam family "Bacterial small subunit ribosomal RNA", at positions 29 to 507 of the family's 1533-position model. The record is from RNAcentral.